UCCCUGCAGUCCAUACAUCCCCAGCCCGUGCACCUUCUCAUCCUCCCCUUUAGAUAACACUUAUCUCCUCUGUGAGGUCCUUCUCCUGUGCAGACCUGCAUCCUUAGAAUACAGAGCAGGGGGGAGGGGAAGUGAGGAGCUGUGUACUCAGCUGGAUGAGAUGAGGGGGCGUGCCUUAUUCCUCUCAUGCAGACAGAGAGAAAAAAAGUGCUAUGACAUCUUGUCCACAACAGACUCAGAACUGUGGACAACGGUAAAAGAAAACCCUCUGAACUACAGAACUUCCUGCCCAACAAACAGCUUCUGGAACCUUCACAUACUUCAACAUAUUAGAAAGAAGGUAGAAUUGGUUGAAUAUUCAAAAGGAUUAACUUGAAGACAAAAAGAAAGGUGGCACAAUGGUGAUAACCACUUUACCUGAAGAAAUCUCUGUUGAGCUCGAAGAAAACAAAGUAGAGUUCAGAACCAAUGAGAAUGAACAGCCUGAUAAGAGCACUAUGGAUCCAUAUUUGAUCAGCACUACAACUGGAGGGAUGGAAAACUCCUGCCACAGCUGCCUGCUGGGUUUAGGAAUGGUCACCCUGAUAAUUGGCAUAUCAACAACAGGAUUAUCAUAUGCAAGCCAAACGCGUGAUAUAAUCCUAUCAAUUAUUGGGCACUCAAUUCUGGCCCUAGGCAUUAUAUCUAUCUUAUUUAGUUGUAUAUGGCGCUACUAUAGGAAAAAAAGAAAGGCAAAGAUAAAUGAGGAUUUAGCAGAAUUAUUCUAUGAAAAUCAGCAGAAGAAAUUUUGCAUAUGAUGAAAGGACACCACACAAUGCUAUGAAUAUAUCCAAGCCUCAGCUUGACCUUCUAUACGGCUCAGCUUAUGUUAACCUUGAAUGCGUCAUGUCAGUCAGCUGAAACAGAUCUCUGCAUCAGAUAUGAAUUAUUAACUGUCUAUGGGAACUUGAGUUCAGUGUAAAUGGUUCAGUCAAAUAUUUCUGUUCAAAUAAAACAAAUACAUUCUUUUGUAUAUAAGAUUUACUUAAAUGUUAUUCUAAUGUUGUAAAAUGUGUUUAUUGUAUUAUGUGUAUUUAUAGAAUGGAAUCCACAUAA
Molecule: long non-coding RNA, 1095 nt
Organism: Hyla sarda
Lineage: Eukaryota; Metazoa; Chordata; Amphibia; Anura; Hylidae
Exons: 4
Source: RefSeq, a predicted model, not a curated record